Molecule: long non-coding RNA, 481 nt
Filed under: Equus asinus (donkey)
Lineage: Eukaryota; Metazoa; Chordata; Mammalia; Perissodactyla; Equidae
Description: lncRNA (ENSEASG00005028747.1)
Source: RNAcentral
GCCAAACUCAACUCAGACACCCAUCAAAUGGACCUCGAGGGGGUACCAGACGUGCGAUGCUGGAGAGAUGUGUCAGGAGACGCUUCUGCUGGUAGACGUAGGUGCGUGGGCUGCACAAGAGGGAACCUGCACUCACCCUCUGCCUGCUGAGCUCCUGCCUCCCUCGGAGCCUCCCUCCCUCAGCCCGGCUCUCACUGUCUCACCCCUCAGGACACAGAUCACUCAUAGUGGGGAGCAAGGGCUGCACCCAGAUCAGGACACAUGAAUCCCCGACUGUCACCGUCCACUCGGGGCCCCCCGGAAUGCUCGUGGCCUCCUAUGCCCAGUUCUGCUCCUCCAGCGGGUGCAACGGGGCCAACAACAGCAGUGUCCUGUUGGAUGCCAUCCCCCGUCCAGCUCCCCCUGUCCCAGGAGACCUGCAGUGUCCUGCCUGUGUUGAGUUGUUUGGAUCCUGCUCACAAAACUCAGAAAAUGUUACCUG